This 465-nucleotide ribosomal RNA is filed under the name Vreelandella stevensii. RNAcentral describes it as "partial 16S ribosomal RNA". It matches the Rfam family "Bacterial small subunit ribosomal RNA", at positions 338 to 795 of the family's 1533-position model. The record is from RNAcentral. Lineage: Bacteria; Pseudomonadati; Pseudomonadota; Gammaproteobacteria; Oceanospirillales; Halomonadaceae.
CCUACGGGGGGCAGCAGUGGGGAAUAUUGGACAAUGGGGGCAACCCUGAUCCAGCCAUGCCGCGUGUGUGAAGAAGGCCCUCGGGUUGUAAAGCACUUUCAGUGAGGAAGAACGCCUGGUGGUUAAUACCCAUCAGGAAAGACAUCACUCACAGAAGAAGCACCGGCUAACUCCGUGCCAGCAGCCGCGGUAAUACGGAGGGUGCGAGCGUUAAUCGGAAUUACUGGGCUUAAAGCGCGCGUAGGUGGCUUGAUAAGCCGGUUGUGAAAGCCCCGGGCUCAACCUGGGAACGGCAUCCGGAACUGUCAAGCUAGAGUGCAGGAGAGGAAGGUAGAAUUCCCGGUGUAGCGGUGAAAUGCGUAGAGAUCGGGAGGAAUACCAGUGGCGAAGGCGGCCUUCUGGACUGACACUGACACUGAGGUGCGAAAGCGUGGGUAGCAAACAGGAUUAGAUACCCUGGUAGUC